RNAcentral lists this ribosomal RNA (465 nucleotides) under Vreelandella stevensii. RNAcentral describes it as "partial 16S ribosomal RNA". It matches the Rfam family "Bacterial small subunit ribosomal RNA", at positions 338 to 795 of the family's 1533-position model. Lineage: Bacteria; Pseudomonadati; Pseudomonadota; Gammaproteobacteria; Oceanospirillales; Halomonadaceae. The record is from RNAcentral.
CCUACGGGGGGCAGCAGUGGGGAAUAUUGGACAAUGGGGGGAACCCUGAUCCAGCCAUGCCGCGUGUGUGAAGAAGGCCCUCGGGUUGUAAAGCACUUUCAGUGAGGAAGAACGCCUGGUGGUUAAUACCCAUCAGGAAAGACAUCACUCACAGAAGAAGCACCGGCUAACUCCGUGCCAGCAGCCGCGGUAAUACGGAGGGUGCGAGCGUUAAUCGGAAUUACUGGGCGUAAAGCGCGCGUAGGUGGCUUGAUAAGCCGGUUGUGAAAGCCCCGGGCUCAACCUGGGAACGGCAUCCGGAACUGUCAAGCUAGAGUGCAGGAGAGGAAGGUAGAAUUCCCGGUGUAGCGGUGAAAUGCGUAGAGAUCGGGAGGAAUACCAGAGGCGAAGGCGGCCUUCUGGACUGACACUGACACUGAGGUGCGAAAGCGUGGGUAGCAAACAGGAUUAGAUACCCUAGUAGUC